This is a long non-coding RNA of Melopsittacus undulatus (budgerigar), 1323 nucleotides long. RefSeq lists it as uncharacterized. The transcript is spliced from 3 exons. NCBI's taxonomy places the organism in Eukaryota, Metazoa, Chordata, Aves, Psittaciformes, Psittaculidae. The record is from RefSeq and is a predicted model, not a curated record.
GCUAAGAGACACACCUUAAUUCUUAUUGCACUGAAACCCUUUGUUGGAUACAAAAGGGUACGUUUUAAAAACAGAAGGCAAGCUUCGCUGAGAAGAUACUGAGUGAUUUAUAAAUUACUCACAACAUAAGGAAUCAUUAAAAUGGUGUGAAGAAGUGAGUUCCAUGCACAUUGUUCACAGAAGGGCAGCACUCAGAGCAGAAUGGGGUUCUCAUUAAAGAGAAACACCCCAGUGUUGUGGUUUAAAACCAGCUGGUAGCUGUCCUGCUUACAGAUAAAGAAGAGAAUCUCUGUGCUGGGAAAAAGAACAAUUAUAAUCCUAAACUUCAGGGAGAAAAAAACAAAGAAGCAAGAAAAUAAAGAUGUCAGAGCCAAUGGUGUAAUCUGGAGCUACCCAGGACCAAUUCUGUGACAGAUGGAGGCUCAAAUUCAAGCAGCAUUUCUAAAAGCUCUUACCAAGUAACAGACUUGUAAAGUCAUAUCCAAGCAUCUAAGUGGCAUGACUUUCAAACAUGUCAAGCAUCACCAGAUUAGUGCUACUAAAAUAAGGCCUGCUAAUUAGAAAACUGAGCUGGGUAACAGCAUCACAGCAUCACUUCAAAAGAAGAUGAUUUUAAGACUCUACCUUCAACAGCCACUAAAAAACCCCAAACCACCAGAAAAUCUUAGCUUGACAAUCUAAACCAUGAACCCCUAUGAUUACAUGAUUUAAAGGUGAAUUUGCUUUAGAUGGUGUAAAGCUAGGUGUCACUUUCAACAGGUUUGACUUCAGAUAAGCAAGUAGAAGACCAGAAAUAUGCCUAGGCAUAAAGAACAAAGUUAUGAAACUAUGUCUGAGUCCUUCUUCACUGUUCUGAUGUGUCUCCCUCAGCUGUCUUGCUAACCCUUUGCACAUGAUUUUUUCCUGAGUUUGGGAAUAAUUUCAUUUACUUUCAGUGUUGCUAAAUUAUGGGGUACUUGGUUCAAUUUUACUGUUUGUUCUCUCUUCUAAAAAUAAAAAUCUAUACUGCUAUUUCAUAUGGGGUUUUAGUAAGACCCAAAGGUAUGUGUGUUUGUUUUUUGAUAUCAGUUGCAGCUAAAAAUGACAAUCUUAAGCCAUUUUCUGAAUAGCAGUGCUACCUCAACAUGCUGCAGGAGUUCUGCCCUCACAGGUCGAAAGCGUGUAGGAACACAUACCACUUAAGAACUGGAGAAGUAAACAGCAAGGAUAAGGUCAUUGUAUAAGAUUGAAAAGCUCAACAUUCAUGACAAGAUAAUUCGAUAAAUAUCAAUAUAUAUAAUUAUAUAUUUAUAUUUCAAGUCCAUGAUCAACCCCAAAUGAGCC